This 301-nucleotide ribosomal RNA is filed under the name uncultured bacterium. RNAcentral describes it as "partial 16S ribosomal RNA". It matches the Rfam family "Bacterial small subunit ribosomal RNA", at positions 509 to 807 of the family's 1533-position model. The record is from RNAcentral.
CAGUAGCCGCGGUAAUACGAGGGGGGCAAGCGUUGUUCGGAUUUAUUGGGCGUAAAGGGUGCGUAGGCGGUUUGGCAAGUCUUGUGUGAAAUCUUCGGGCUCAACCCGAAGCCUGCACGAGAAACUACCGGGCUUGAGUAUUGGAGAGGUGAGUGGAAUUUCCGGUGUAGCGGUGAAAUGCGUAGAUAUCGGAAGGAACACCUGUGGCGAAAGCGGCUCACUGGACAAUAACUGACGCUGAUGCACGAAAGCUAGGGGAGCAAACAGGAUUAGAUACCCCCGUAGUCCCUGUCUCUUAUAC